Molecule: ribosomal RNA, 823 nt
Filed under: Graphelmis clermonti
Lineage: Eukaryota; Metazoa; Arthropoda; Insecta; Coleoptera; Elmidae
Description: partial 16S ribosomal RNA
Rfam family: Archaeal large subunit ribosomal RNA (bases 1-594)
Source: RNAcentral
CGUCUUUUGAUUAUGAUUUAAGAUUUGGUCUGCCCACUGAAAAUUUAAAGGGCCGCGGUAUUUUGACCGUGCAAAGGUAGCAUAAUAAUUAGUUUUUUGAUUGAAAGCUGGAAUGAAUGGUUGGACGAGGAAAUUACUGUCUCUAGUUUAUUUAUAUAUAAUUUUAUUUUUUAGUUAAAAAGCUUAAAUGAUUUUAAAAGACGAGAAGACCCUAUAGAGUUUUAUAUUUUAAUAGAAAUUUUUUGUCUUAAGGAUCAAGGUUGAAAUUUCUAGGAAGUAUUUUAUUGGGGCGAUGGAAAGAUUUAAUUAACUCUUUUUUUUAUUUUACAUUAAUAUUUGAAUUUUUGAUCCAUUUUUUAUGAUUAUAAGAAUAAAUUACCUUAGGGAUAACAGCGUAAUCUUUUUUGAGAGUUCUUAUCGAAAGGGGGGGUUGCGACCUCGAUGUUGGAUUAAAGUUAAUGUUUGGUGGAGGAGCUAAAUUAUUGAGUCUGUUCGACUUUUAAAACUUUACAUGAUCUGAGUUUAGACCGGUGUGAGCCAGGUUGGUUUCUAUCUUUAUUUAUUUAAAAUAUUUUAGUACGAAAGGACCAAAUGUUUAAUAGAUUUAUUUUUUAAUUGAAUUAUAUUAAUGUUAUUUUGGCAGAUUAGUGCAAUGGAUUUAGAAUCUUUUUAUAUGAAGAAUUUCAUAAGUAAUAUUUGUUUAUAUUUGAUUAUAUUUUGUUAUUUAUUAAUAUAUUAAUUUUGAUUGUUUGUGUUUUGAUUGGAGUAGCAUUUUUUACUUUGUUAGAGCGUAAGGUCUUAGGAUAUAUUCAAUUCGAAAGGG